AGAGUUAAGCCGUUACUAAGAGACAGUUGGACUUGAGUUCUCUCUCUCUCUCUCUCUCUCUCUCUCUCUCUCUCUCUCUCUCUCUCUCUCUCUCUCUCUCUCUCUCUCUCUCUCUCUCUCUCUCUUUCUCUCUCUCUCUCUCUCUCUCUCUCUCUCUCUCUCUUGUUUUGACCUAGAGGGACUGGCUGUUUUCUCUUGGUAGGAAAUUCUACCUUAUCUUUUCCAUCUUACCUGCUUCCCUGCUGACUGAUAUCUACAGAGCUUCAUGAUGUGAUCCUGAACCAUCUGUCUAACUAGGAAAAUAAUGACAAAAUUCACCUUGAAGAAUGAAAGAACAUUGUACACAGUAACAAGAAUACUGUGAAAGAUCAACUGUGAAAGGCUUAGCUACUCUAAUCAAUACAAUGAUCUGGGACAAUUCUGAGGAACUUGUGACAAAGAAGGCUAUCCACUUCCAGGAUGAGUAAACUAAGACUGGGAUAUUAAAUUGCUUUCUUGGGUCUACACAACUACUUUCUGAAGAAGGAUUUAGACCAAGUUCUUCUUGAUUCUGAAUUCAACAUUCCACCACCUACCUAGCUAGACCUUUUGGGAGGCAUCUCCAUUUUCAAUGUAUCAUUGGACUACUUGCUUUAAAAAUCUGACUAGAUAUACUAAGUCCUUGAGACCAAGAGGAAAAAAAAAUCUCUCUACCAAAUGCCAAGCAGUUAUGAUGUGUCACUAUGGUGCCAGUAUCUUGGGCUAUGGAGGUCAUGUCUCCCCUGAUAUCAGUUUCAGUGAACUACAGUGAGACAAAGGGAUUCACCUUGGAGAGUAUCUUCGGACAUGUAUCUAAGAAAAGAAAGUAAAAUCAGUGAGAGCCAGAGAGACUCCAGGGUUUCCCAGUAAGUGAUUAUUCUUCCCCCAGGAAAGGUAAAGGUGGUUUUACCAUCAUGAAGAAAAAUUACUGCGUUCUUCUUAGAGAUCCCAAAUUGUUCACUGGCUUGUCUAAAAUGUCUUAAAACCUUCAAGAACUGUGCCCAGUUCUCGAAC
This 1032-nucleotide long non-coding RNA is filed under the name Monodelphis domestica (gray short-tailed opossum). RNAcentral's name for it is "lncRNA (ENSMODG00000044851.1)". The record is from RNAcentral. Lineage: Eukaryota; Metazoa; Chordata; Mammalia; Didelphimorphia; Didelphidae.